AGCUUUUCGAAUCCGUGCUGAGAUUUCGUCAGAGGUCAAAAUAUUAGGGUUGAUCAGACUUCCAAGGUAAGUGAAGUU
This 78-nucleotide microRNA precursor is filed under the name Schistosoma haematobium. RNAcentral describes it as "mir-3492 microRNA precursor family". It matches the Rfam family "mir-3492 microRNA precursor family". The record is from Rfam by way of RNAcentral. Lineage: Eukaryota; Metazoa; Platyhelminthes; Trematoda; Strigeidida; Schistosomatidae.